RNAcentral lists this ribosomal RNA (253 nucleotides) under uncultured bacterium. Its description in RNAcentral is "partial 16S ribosomal RNA". It matches the Rfam family "Bacterial small subunit ribosomal RNA", at positions 524 to 776 of the family's 1533-position model. The record is from RNAcentral.
UACAGAGGGGGCAAGCGUUAUUCGGAAUUAUUGGGCGUAAAGGGCGCGUAGGCGGCUUUGCAAGUGACGGGUGAAAUCCCUCGGCUUAACCGAGGAACUGCCUGUCAAACUGCAUGGCUUGAGACCGGGAGAGGUGAGUGGAAUUCCCAGUGUAGCGGUGAAAUGCGUAGAUAUUGGGAGGAACACCAGUGGCGAAGGCGGCUCGCUGGACCGGUUCUGACGCUGAGGCGCGAAAGCGUGGGGAGCAAACAGG